This 253-nucleotide ribosomal RNA is filed under the name uncultured bacterium. RNAcentral's name for it is "partial 16S ribosomal RNA". It matches the Rfam family "Bacterial small subunit ribosomal RNA", at positions 524 to 776 of the family's 1533-position model. The record is from RNAcentral.
UACGAAGGGGGCUAGCGUUGCUCGGACUUACUGGGCGUAAAGCGCACGUAGUCGGUUUCUUAAGUCGGGGGUGAAAUCCUGGAGCUCAACUCCAGAACUGCCUUCGAUACUGGGAAACUUGAGUCCGGGAGAGGUGAGUGGAACUGCGAGUGUAGAGGUGAAAUUCGUAGAUAUUCGCAAGAACACCAGUGGCGAAGGCGGCUCACUGGCCCGGUACUGACGCUGAGGUGCGAAAGCGUGGGGAGCAAACAGG